GACGAACGCUGGCGGCGUGCUUAACACAUGCAAGUCGAACGGAAAGGCCUCUUUCGGGGGGUACUCGAGUGGCGAACGGGUGAGUAACACGUGAGUAGCCUGCCCUUGACUUUGGGAUAACUUCAGGAAACUGGGGCUAAUACCGGAUAGGAGCUCCUGCUGCAUGGUGGGGGUUGGAAAGUUUCGGCGGUUGGGGAUGGACUCGCGGCUUAUCAGCUUGUUGGUGGGGUAGUGGCUUACCAAGGCUUUGACGGGUAGCCGGCCUGAGAGGGUGACCGGCGACAUUGGGACUGAGAUACGGCCCAGACUCCGACGGGAGGCAGCAGUGGGGAAUAUUGCACAAGGGGUGGAAGCCUGAUGCAGCAACGCCGUGUGCGGGAUGACGGCCUUCGGGUUGUAAACCGCUUUCGCUCAUGACGAAGCUUUGUGUGACGGUAGUGGGUAAAGAAGCACCGGCUAACUACGUG
This 467-nucleotide ribosomal RNA is filed under the name uncultured bacterium. RNAcentral's name for it is "partial 16S ribosomal RNA". It matches the Rfam family "Bacterial small subunit ribosomal RNA", at positions 28 to 507 of the family's 1533-position model. The record is from RNAcentral.